RNAcentral lists this ribosomal RNA (253 nucleotides) under uncultured bacterium. RNAcentral describes it as "partial 16S ribosomal RNA". It matches the Rfam family "Bacterial small subunit ribosomal RNA", at positions 524 to 776 of the family's 1533-position model. The record is from RNAcentral.
UACGUAGGGUGCAAGCGUUAAUCGGAAUUACUGGGCGUAAAGCGUGCGCAGGCGGUUUUGUAAGUCUGACGUGAAAUCCCCGGGCUCAACCUGGGAAUUGCGUUUGAGACUGCAAGGCUAGAAUCUGGCAGAGGGGGGUAGAAUUCCACGUGUAGCAGUGAAAUGCGUAGAGAUGUGGAGGAACACCGAUGGCGAAGGCAGCCCCCUGGGUCAAGAUUGACGCUCAUGCACGAAAGCGUGGGGAGCAAACAGG